This 201-nucleotide unclassified non-coding RNA is filed under the name Hevea brasiliensis (rubber tree). The record is from RNAcentral. Lineage: Eukaryota; Viridiplantae; Streptophyta; Magnoliopsida; Malpighiales; Euphorbiaceae.
GUUCUUUGACUGCUUCGAUCCAUGUCCUUGGUCUAUCCCUAUCAUCUUUUCACUCUCAUAACUUAUCUGAAGAAUUCUCAUUUUAAAAUUAUAAUGACAGACAGGUCCAGAAAAUUUUUAUUAUAUAAAUUCUAGUGCAAUCUAUACUGCAACAGUUUUCUUGUCUGCUGGUUUUGGUGAUUUAGAAGGUUCAAAGGGAAA